Molecule: ribosomal RNA, 403 nt
Filed under: uncultured prokaryote
Description: bacterial SSU rRNA
Rfam family: Bacterial small subunit ribosomal RNA
Source: RNAcentral
UAGGGAAUUUUGCGCAAUGGGGGAAACCCUGACGCAGCAACGCCGCGUGAAUGACGAAGCCCUUCGGGGUGUAAAGUUCUGUCAGUGGGGACGAAUUAUGACGGUACCCACAAAGGAAGCACCGGCUAACUCCGUGCCAGCAGCCGCGGUAAUACGGAGGGUGCAAGCGUUGUCCGGAAUCAUUGGGCGUAAAGCGUUCGUAGGCGGCAUAUCAAGUCUGGUGUUAAAGCCCGGAGCUCAACUCCGGAUCGGCACUGGAUACUGGUAAGCUAGAAUGAGGUAGAGGUAAUGGGAAUUCCUGGUGUAGCGGUGAAAUGCGUAGAUAUCAGGAGGAACACCGGUGGCGUAAGCGCAUUACUGGGCCUUUAUUGACGCUGAGGAACGAAAGCCGGGGGAGCAAAUG